Molecule: ribosomal RNA, 637 nt
Filed under: uncultured bacterium
Lineage: Bacteria
Description: bacterial SSU rRNA
Rfam family: Bacterial small subunit ribosomal RNA
Source: RNAcentral
CGCGGCCUAUCAGCUUGUUGGUGAGGUAAUGGCUCACCAAGGCUUCGACGGGUAGCCGGCCUGAGAGGGCGACCGGCCACAUUGGGACUGAGAUACGGCCCAAACUCCUACGGGAGGCAGCAGUGGGGAAUAUUGCACAAUGGGCGAAAGCCUGAUGCAGCAACGCCGCGUGCGGGAUGACGGCCUUCGGGUUGUAAACCGCUUUCAUCCAUGACGAAGCUUUUUGUGACGGUAGUGGGAGAAGAAGCACCGGCUAACUACGUGCCAGCAGCCGCGGUGAUACGUAGGGUGCGAGCGUUGUCCGGAUUUAUUGGGCGUAAAGAGCUUGUAGGCGGUUUGUCGCGUCGGGAGUGAAAACUCAGGGCUUAACCCUGAGCCUGCUUCCGAUACGGGCAGACUUGAGGAAGGUAGGGGAGAGUGGAAUUCCUGGUGGAGCGGUGGAAUGCGCAGAUAUCAGGAGGAACACCAGUGGCGAAGGCGGCUCUCUGGACCUUUCCUGACGCUGAGAAGCGAAAGCGUGGGGAGCAAACAGGCUUAGAUACCCUGGUAGUCCACGCCGUAAACGGUGGGUACUAGGUGUGGGGGACAUUCCACGUUCUCCGUGCCGCAGCUAACGCAUUAAGUACCCCGCCUGGGG